Molecule: long non-coding RNA, 303 nt
Organism: Nyctereutes procyonoides (raccoon dog)
Lineage: Eukaryota; Metazoa; Chordata; Mammalia; Carnivora; Canidae
Exons: 3
Source: RefSeq, a predicted model, not a curated record
GAGUCCUCCAAAACUUUGCAGAAAUAACCAGUGGAUUUCAACCAAAGAAUGUACCAUUGCUUCUUGUGGGAUGUGCUUUGUUCAAGAAACAGAGUAUGUUGAGCUUGGUGCCAAUUUCCAGCUGGGAUUGAACGAAGUCAGACAACCCUUCCAAAUCAUAGUGUGAGCCCAAAAGAGCUGGAAUAUUACAUUUCCUUGGGAAAAUCACUCCAAACUCAUCUUAGCAGCUCUACCUCAACCAAUAAUCCUGUUUAUCAAGAUAGCAGUGCCUUCAUCAUCAAUUAAUUUAUUUGCUUAAGUUGA